UCAGUGUUCUCAUCUGUGUCCAAAGGGCCUUA
This 32-nucleotide non-coding RNA is filed under the name Homo sapiens (human). The record is from RNAcentral. Lineage: Eukaryota; Metazoa; Chordata; Mammalia; Primates; Hominidae.